GUGCUCACUUCAGCAGCACAUAUACUAAAAUUGUAACGAUGCAGAGAAGAUUAGCAUGGCCCCUGCACAAGGAUGACACGCAAAUUCAUGAAGCGUUCCAUGUGGUU
This 107-nucleotide small nuclear RNA is filed under the name Athene cunicularia (burrowing owl). The record is from RNAcentral. Lineage: Eukaryota; Metazoa; Chordata; Aves; Strigiformes; Strigidae.